This 74-nucleotide transfer RNA is filed under the name Mycobacterium botniense. RNAcentral's name for it is "tRNA-Arg". It matches the Rfam family "tRNA". From Rfam's summary of the family: Transfer RNA (tRNA) molecules are approximately 80 nucleotides in length. Their secondary structure includes four short double-helical elements and three loops (D, anti-codon, and T loops). The record is from RNAcentral. RNAcentral also lists the same sequence under 1 other name. Lineage: Bacteria; Bacillati; Actinomycetota; Actinomycetes; Mycobacteriales; Mycobacteriaceae.
GCCCCCGUAGCUCAGGGGAUAGAGCACCGCUCUCCUAAAGCGGGUGUCGCAGGUUCGAAUCCUGCCGGGGGCAC